CGGGGGGGGCAAGCGUUGUUCGGAAUUACUGGGCGUAAAGGGCUCGUAGGCGGCCAACUAAGUCAGACGUGAAAUCCCCAGGCUCAACCUGGGAACUGCGUCUGAUACUGGUUGGCUUGAAUUCGGGAGAGGGAUGCAGAAUUCCAGGUGUAGCGGUGAAAUGCGUAGAUAUCUGGAGGAAUACCGGUGGCGAAGGCGGCAUCCUGGACCGACAUUGACGCUGAGGAGCGAAAGCUAGGGGAGCAAACGGGACUUAGAUACCCCGGUAGUCCUAGCCCUAAACGAUGAAUGCUUGGUGUGACGGGUAUCGAUCCCUGUCGUGCCGAAGCUAACGCAUUAAGCAUUCCGCCUGGGGAGUACGGUCGCAAGGCUG
Molecule: ribosomal RNA, 373 nt
Filed under: uncultured organism
Description: bacterial SSU rRNA
Rfam family: Bacterial small subunit ribosomal RNA
Source: RNAcentral